CGUGUGGCUUUGGUUCGUGGCUUUUUUCGCACGACUGACCGUGGCGGGUGGUGACAAGUAGCUUGAAUUCUCUGCUUUCUUGUACUAACCUAUCACUUAUGACUGAUUUUGGAAAGAGAAGACUACAAUGAUGACCAAAUGAGAGUAUUUUGGUAUUUUUUUGAGUCAGAGGAUCGUGAAAGAUGGAUUUAUUGAACGAAGAAGGCGCGAUUCAGUAGCUGGUUCUAAAAAUGCGACAUGGCUACCAAGCGUGGCUGUAGCAGGGUCAGCCCUCCUCAAACAGAGAAAUACACAAACUGCCACCACCCUUGGCAUUAUGCUCAAGACCGGAUCUAUAGAGGCCAAUUUGAUUCGAUUUUCAAAGAUGAAGAUUGCAACUUCAAAUCAAGGUACAUUAGAUAGAAUGAAUACAUUGGGUGAAGAACACGAUAUUGAACUGAAACAGGCACAAAAUAGAAUUGUGAAGGAAAGUUGUGAAGUCCAAGACUUGAAAAGGAAUGUUGUGACCUGUGACCCAAGUGACAAUGGCCAGUCAAAAGAGAACUUACCAAAGACAAGAUAUCACUGUAUAAAGAAAAAUGUCAUUCAGGAUACUCUAUUGUUUUUGAUAACAUUGACCUUGAAAUGAAGAGGAAAGACAUGACAAUGGCCAAGCAAAAUAAAGAUAUACAUUGGAUUAACCACAAGAUUGUAAUCAACCGAGUAUCUGGAAACCAAUUUGAGUGGGAACCCGGCCCAAAACAAGAAAUUUUGGAUGUCUCAAACAUCAAGUUCCUGCCUUCUGCACAUGAUUAUAAACUACAAAGGCAUAACUACGUUGUUGUUGUGUCAAGAAUCCUGGUGAGCUACUUUAAUUGCUUCAAAGCAUUGUAAGAGGCCUGCAUUCAACACAUACAGCAUAAGCAUAUGAAAGAAAUGGCUGAAAAGUCU
This is a long non-coding RNA of Actinia tenebrosa (Australian red waratah sea anemone), 930 nucleotides long. NCBI's taxonomy places the organism in Eukaryota, Metazoa, Cnidaria, Anthozoa, Actiniaria, Actiniidae. The record is from RefSeq and is a predicted model, not a curated record.